RNAcentral lists this long non-coding RNA (5745 nucleotides) under Sus scrofa (pig). Its description in RNAcentral is "lncRNA (ENSSSCG00000060981.1, ENSSSCG00110014596.1)". The record is from RNAcentral. Lineage: Eukaryota; Metazoa; Chordata; Mammalia; Artiodactyla; Suidae.
CGGCAUAUGGAGGUUCCCAGGCUAGGGGUCGAAUCGGAGCUGUAGCCACAGGCCUACGCCAGAGCCACAGCAAACGAGGGAUCUGAACCGCUUUUGCAACCUACACCACAGCUCACAGCAACGCCUGAUCCUUAACCCACUAAGCAAGUCCAGGGAUCAAACCCACAACCUCAUGGUUCCUAGUCAGAUUCGUUAACCACUGAGCCACAACGGGAACUCCCUAUCAGGAAUUUCUAAAUGUUCUCUAAUGUGUGUGGAGUAUGCAUGUAAUUUCUCCUGAACAGUAAAAUAUCACUAGUUUCUUUUUCUCAAAAACACAAAACCAAACCCAAAAACUAGGGAGCAAUCGUUGUGCCAUUUUUGAUUUCUGCCUUUGUCUUCACCAUUUGCGCCAAUGGUUCAGUGGCUCUGGCCUGAAGGAUGUUUUCUCAGCUCUGUUCUUAUGCUCUUUCAUUGUGCACUUCAGCUUGAAAGACACACCCACCCCUGGAUCCUCCAAGGCAAGUUAGUUUGACAUUCAAUCCUAGCCUGGGUCUCUGGUUUACCAUCAAAGCAAGAGUAGGACUGAUUCAGCCUUUCCCAUGAAAUUGCUAAAUGCUAUUUCAUUAAAUAUCUGCCAGAGCAGUGCAUUUUUAUUGUUGUUUUUAAAAACUAAGAAGGAAACCAAAAUAACUCCAUGAAACAAGUAUACCCAAAUUCGUGUAUGGGGUCAGGAAAAUUGAGAACAAAAUGACUAGUGUUGCAAAACAGAAAUAAGGACAAUGGAAAGGAAAUUUUGUAAAAACAAAAACAAAAACAAAAAAAACCUUCCCCCGAUAUUGACGUGAAAUGGCAGGUUGAGUAGAGCCUUCUGAUAAAAUAUGAUCUGUACUCAAAAUGUUUUACUCUAACUACUCAUUCCCUAAAUCAAUAUUAUAUAAAAUCCUUCCUUCCCUUUCUUUUUCUUUUUAUAGCUACUCCCAUGGCAUAUGGAAGUUCCCAGGCUACGGGUCCAAUUGGAGCUGCAGCUGCCAGCCUACACCACAGCCACAGCAAUGCUGGAUCCAAGCCACAUCUGUCCUAUGCUGCACCUUUCGGAAACUCUGGAUCCUUAACCCACUGAACAAGGCCAGGGAUCAAACCUGCAUCUUCAUGGACACUAUGUUGGGUGCUUAACCUGCUGAGCCACAACAGGAACUCCUUAUAUAAAAUUCUGUAUGAAUUCUAGAAACUGAGGCAGAAAAUUAUCCCCAUCACUGAGACUCAGAGGGUCGAUGGGAUACACCAGUAGGCAUUGACCUGGUGACAAUGGCCCUCGUGAUGCGGGAAGAGACCUGUGCACUGUGCCUGUCCUCCUUUGACCCUGCCAGGAAGCUAAGCAGAGCAUGGGAGACUCAGCAUCACCUGAUUCUUUACUACAUCUGGCCUGGGACCUCACAGGGAUGGUCCCUCUGUAGGGGCAUCUCCCUGUGUGGUACCCUCCUUGCUGCCUCUGGCCUGCCUCCUUCUCUGGCUUCCUUUGGGCUAUUGUAAACCAGAGAUCAUGGCUUCUAAAAAUAAUCUGGUUAAGGUAAACAAGACAUGUCACUUUCCUGGUGAAGGUGCUGGGGGUAUAACCCCUCCAUCUUUGGACUCUCAAGAGUCAGAGGGGCCUCUAAAGAAAGAAUGGUCAUUUUCUGAGUCGCCGAUGCUCUGAGAGAGCCACGAGGCAGAGGCAGUAAUAGCUGAGAGCAAGGCAGCCCCGCGUCCUCUCGUCAUGGGCUCUCAGCUAUUACCAUUCCUGUGGCUUCACACUGACAGUUAUAAAUAUGUACGUAUAGAUUGAAUAAAUAUAUGUAGACUAAAAUAGGACAAAAUAGUAGGAUUAAAGCUUGAAACUGGCUUAAAGCUUGAAACAAAAAAUAUAGUAAUGUUGGUGUCUAGGGGGAACCAACCAACAGUACUCCUUUCUCGGUCCAAAUCUUCAACCAACAGAGCAAUAAUCACAAAGUCAAGCAGAGGAAGACCACACACCAUUUAUUCCCGAGCUAUCUGUGUGCUCUCCGCAGAUGAGCAGCUCCCAAGGAGGGGAGAGGAGUGGCUUAGCUAUAUUCGCUCAGUUCCUCUUUCUAAACUCAACAGUCCCAUGGCUCAUGCACCAGAGUAGGUAAAUGGGUAAGGAAGACACGCCAGAGAGCUGCCUCUACAUGGAGGACGCAUCAUAAGUGGAGAAGACGCGCCCACCACACAUACCCUCCUGCUAUUCCUCUUCCAUUAAUCUCGUUUUAUUUAUUUUUUAUUUAUUUAUUUUUGCUUUUUAGGGCCACACCUGUGGCAUAUGGAGGUUCCCAGGCUAGGGGUCUAAUUGGAGCUACAGCUGCUGGCCUGUACCACAGCCACAGCAACGUGAGAUCCAAGGCACAUCUGCGACCUACACCAGAGCUCACAGCAACACCAGAUCCUUAAUCUGCUAAGCGAGGCCAGGGAUCGAACCCUCAACCUCAUGGUUCCAACUUGGAUAUGUUUUCACUGUGCCAUGACGGGAACUCCCCUUCCAUUUAUCUCUUGAGGUUAGUAAGUGUACGGCCAAUAGGAAAAAGGUAUUUCCCAUCUUCACGAAGCUACUUCUGCCAUACCAACGACCACUUCUUUGGGUGUCUUCAUGGACAGGGUGGAUUUUCACCCCUUGAAAGCUCUGAAAUGAACUGAAACUGUGUAAUAAUUAAAUUAAUUCCAUGGCAUUAGUUUUCUGGGGCUGUUGUAACGAAUGACCACAACUGGGUGGCUUAAAGCAACAGAAACUUAUCCUCUCACUGUUUCAAGGCCAAAAGUCCAAAAUCAAGGAGUCAGCAAGUGCAGACUCCAUCUGCAGGCUCAGGGGAGGGUCCUUUCUCACCUCCUCCGUGGCUUCUGGGAGCAAGGCUCUAGUCUUUCUCCGCCUCUGUCUUCACACGAUCUUCAGGUGAGGCCCUAAAAAGACAAAAAUAAGUAAAAUUAAAUUAAAUUAAAUUAAAAUUAAUAACACACUAGCAGAAAUAGGCCCCAAAUCUAGAUAUAAAAUUUCUUCCAUUACCAAAUCCCUAGAAGGCAAUGAACAUACUGUGCUGGGCCCCUGACUCCAAGCACAAGAGCUGCUUCUUCAUCAGUAAUGCGGUUCCCCUGAGCCCAAGGUCCUUGCUUUGUGAGAUCUCACCUUGUAAACAGCAGACCCUAUCUUUGCACUAACCAGGAAUCGAAGAUGUCCUCCACUGCUGGUGACUCACCUCAGCUCCAUUGGUGGCUCUGAAAGUGUCAUCAAGUCACUCUCACAAGAGCCUGUUGCUCCUCUGAAUGUACAGUCAGCAUCAGUGGCAAUUACCUCAGUCAAUUUCUCUUUUUCUCUACAGUACAGACAUAAAGGUAAUCAACUCUGCCUCCUGGGCUGAUUUCCAGGGUCUGAGAUUGACAUCUGCUCCUGACCUCAUCCUUCUGUCUUGUACCUGUUCCAAUUUCCCGAAAACCCAACAUUCCCAUCACAUGUGGAACUUCUCUUAGUAUUUCAGGCCGAAAUGAAAUUUCAACUAGUAUUUCAACUCAAUCUAGCUGAGUUGCCCUGCUGAACAGAUGGGUUACAAACUGUUGUUGUUUGCCUAUGACACAGACACGUGUGAUAUGCCCAUAAUCCUCUCCUGCGUAUAGAAUCUUAUCUUGUGCUUGUUUCAAAGAAACCUACGGAAGAUGUAAGGAAAAGAAUUCGUCAGACAAAAUGGUUGCCACUGACCUUCCCUUGCAGAACUCACCCCCUGGAAGCAGCUGGAGGGAUUUGUGGCAUGAGCAGAUCUGGAUCUUCUGCUCCUUGAAUCAAGUAUCAGUUUGGGAGUGCCCACCCCUCCACACCAAAAAGAACUUUUCAUACUAUCCAUCAUUAACCUGUAGGCUGAGGAAUUACCAGAGAAAAAUGCCCAGAUUUCCAGGGAGGAGAAGGAUGGGUGUUCUCUGAUUUGCAUGCAUAUCCCUGAUUCAAUUAACUGUGACCAACAGGUAGGGUCACACCUCAACCAGGGUGGCUGAUGAGGCCCUCCAUGGUUGGUAAAGUAGAAGUUAUAUGUGGGACAGACACUCUAAAAGGUCAAGAUGACAGGUAUAGAAUCAGCAUGGCAUACAGAAUUGAGUCUGGGGAGUUCCCAUCAUGGCGCAGCAGAAAUGAAUCCCACUAGUAUCCAUGAGGAUGCAGGUUCGGUCCCUGGCCUUGCUCAGUGGGUCACCGAUCUGGCAUUGCUGUGAGCUGUGGUGUAGGUCACAGACACAGCUCAGAUCUACUGUUGCUGUGGCUGUGGCAGCAGCUGUAGCUCCGAUUCGACCCCUAGCCUGGGAACCUCCAUACACCACAGGUUCAGCCCUAAAAAGAAAAAAAAAUAUAAUUGUGUCUGAUUCAUUCAGCAAGUCACUUACCUUCUCUAAGUCUCAGUUUCUUCACCUGAAAACAGGAACACUUCCACUUGCCUUGGUGCUUUUAUGAAGAUUAAAGUAGAAAAUGCAUGUACAGCAAAUGCGCAACUGGCCAAGGAAGAUGCUCUGUCCUCCACGUCCCUGGAGAGGAACAUAACGGAUUCUUCCUGCACGUGGGGUGGGAGAUGAAAGCAGCUCCUAUGAGGGGUGCUUCAGGCCUGAAACACUGGAUUCAAAGGAAGGUCUCCAAGAAUCCUGGGUCCUGGAUGAUCCCAGGAACUGGAACAACUUUUCCUACAGGAGCCACAACAUCCACUUUGCGUCCAGGCACCCUCCCCACGGCUUACCUCAGAGGCAGAGAAGAAGGUUUAUGUCAAAGGAAUUUGGUCCAAGUGUUAGGCAGGUAAUUCCUCACGCAUCAACACCACGGGACACACUCAUUAGCACUCGUCCUCCAACACUCCCUUGGCUCUAAGCUUGGACGUCUGUCUAAUGCUUCUAUUUCUGCCCUCUGGACAUGGCUUUGAGCUUAAUAUUUGACCCCCUUAGCUGAUCUCUUGUUAUUGCUUACAGACAUGGCUUUUCAUGCCCCCUUCCUGCUCUUGGGACUUCUAUUUACACCAAGGAUAACACGCCUCUUGUCAGCCCCUUGGGACCAACUCUUGGUGCCGCUCAUGGCCUGCAUCUCUAGCUGGUCCUGCUCGGCACCCCAAGGGGAGAGGUGAACAAAACCCAGUGAUCCACUGGUACCUAGACCGUGCAUGUGGCCAUGCGUGAUCUCGUAAGGACAAACACCGGGUGAGUUUACUGAGACUGGAUCCAUCUUCCUCUGCAGCAAAACAAGAGAUGAGGAGUAGGAAGGCAGAAGUGAGGGUAGGAUGCCAGCUUGAAGCCAAGCAGCAGCCAUGCCGAGGGUCAAACACAUCUGAAAAUACCUAUUGAAUGGAAGCUGUGCCUGUCAGAAGUCCAUUAGUUUGAGGGAUGGAGCAAUCUCAGAGGAAAAGAACAUCCUUAAGGAAGAGGAAGCCAGGUAAAUACACUCGAUCCAUUUAAGAAUAUCUAGUACCAUGAGUUUUUUUUUUUUUUUUCCUUUUCUGAGGUUAGUAGAUGCAAACUGUUGUAUUUGGAGUGGACAAGCAAUGAGAUCCUGCUAUAUAGCACAGGGCACUAUAUCUAAUCACACGUGAUGGAACGUGAUGGAGGAUAAUAUGAGAAAAAGAAUGCAUAUAUAUGUAUAACUGGGUCACUUUGCUGUCUUGCAGAAAUUAAGAGAACACCAUAAAUCAGCUACAAUAAAAAAAUUUAAAAAGAAUAUCUAGUCCCUAUUUAUAGUUAGAAUAGGGCUAGGUUAGUGUCUCU